CUACGGGACGCACCAGUGGGGAAUAUUGCACAAUGGGCGCAAGCCUGAUGCAGCCAUGCCGCGUGUAUGAAGAAGGCCUUCGGGUUGUAAAGUACUUUCAGCGGGGAGGAAGGGAGUAAAGUUAAUACCUUUGCUCAUUGACGUUACUCGCAGAAGAAGCACCGGCUAACUCCGUGCCAGCAGCCGCGGUAAUACGGAGGGUGCAAGCGUUAAUCGGAAUUACUGGGCGUAAAGCGCACGCAGGCGGUUUGUUAAGUCAGGUGUGAAAUCCCCGGGCUCAACCUGGGAACUGCAUCUGAUACUGGCAAGCUUGAGUCUCGUAGAGGGGGGUAGAAUUCCAGGUGUAGCGGUGAAAUGCGUAGAGAUCUGGAGGAAUACCGGUGGCGAAGGCGGCCCCCUGGACGAAGACUGACGCUCAGGUGCGAAAGCGUGGGGAGCAAACAGGAUUAGAUACCCGGGUAGUC
Molecule: ribosomal RNA, 464 nt
Filed under: uncultured bacterium
Lineage: Bacteria
Description: partial 16S ribosomal RNA
Rfam family: Bacterial small subunit ribosomal RNA
Source: RNAcentral